ACAAGGCUCACCUGCAGCCCCUUCCCUCAUUAGUUCCUCACUACUCAAUUCACACCUUGAUUAGAUUGGAUUAGUCCUGAACUUCUACUGGAGGAGACAUUCUUUCCGGGCCAUUCAAGAGAAAACAGGCUUUCCUAGGAACACUUUCUGGCAAUUUUUGUGCAGAAGAGUGUGACAGUUCCCCAUCCAGCCGACGAAGCAGGAAUCCUGCCGUCCUGCCAGCUCUCUCUCUCCUCUCAGGCCCACGGACAGUGGGCCUCUGGAAGCUAAUGGUUCAUGCCCUCCUCCCAGGGCAGAAAAUGGACUGGAAUGUUGUUUACCUCAAGCACACCAGGCUGCAGCAGGACAAAACAUGGCUUACAGAACCUCCAGUCUGAGACUAAUGUCAUUGUCUUGGAUGCCGGGAUAUGAUCAUCCGUCUCAUUUGUUCGCAGACAAAGCAAAAGAAAACAAGUGCGACAGCUUGAGAGUGAAUACAAAUCUCACUAUUGAUCCAGCGCUCAACAUUUUUCAAAGGAAUAAAUAGGAUAUGUUUG
Gasterosteus aculeatus aculeatus (three-spined stickleback) is the source of this 536-nucleotide long non-coding RNA. The record is from Ensembl. NCBI's taxonomy places the organism in Eukaryota, Metazoa, Chordata, Actinopteri, Perciformes, Gasterosteidae.